UGAUCUUUAGGGUCUUGGGCUCAAUUGCACUGGAACAGCAUGCUUGGCAGGGAGAGGAGAACUUUGUAAUGGGAAUGGAUCCAUGGGGAAUGAUUUAGAGCAAGGUAACUUUAAGGCUUGUUGUGAAAGUUAAGCAGUAAUUGAGUUUGUGGAUGUGGAGCUCUUUCAGAUGGGUAUAGUGCCUGUAUUCAUAAGCAGCUUUUGGAAAAGCUUCAGUGAGAGGAUUGUCUAAUGGAUACCAAACACAAAUGAAAAUAGGCUUACAACAACAACAACAACAACAACAACAACAACAACAACUACUUAUUGGUAAACUCUCUUGUGAACCUUUUAGUGAAAUGUUGUAUAAAAAUGGUUUCAACAAAUAAGUAAAGAUGAUUUGCGUAAUAUCUCCAAAGGACAAAUCUUAAAGCUCAGAUCAAUAAUAUAUGAACACUUUCCACAUCAACACCUUCCAUGGAUCUUCUGGGAAAGUUCUAAGGCAAAUACUCAGCCCAUGUGGGCAUGUUGGUUCUCCUGUGUGAAUUGCACAUGUGCCAUAGAACAUUUCCCUGUAGCUAAAUAGUCCAGCAGAAGAGUGGCAUGAGUGGGCAUCUGAGACACAUGAGGGUUCCCUUAAAUAUGGCAUGUGAUUGGACAGCAAAACCUAAGUCUCAUGUACAACCUCGUUAUCUUGCAAUGAUAUUUAACUAGGAGGGAGUCCAUGGCAGACAACAGAACUGAAACAGGGUUUUUGUCAAAUUUGAAACUGAAAAUUCACCUGUGGAAUCAUACUUUGAGCUUGAGCACUGAAAUUUAGAGGAUUAGAUAAUUCAUUUGUGCUUCAACUCCAGCUGGUAGUUUUAUCCGUAUCUGAUAUAAUACUACAUUAUGAUAAAAACUAGCAAAGGUGAGAGGUGCUUUAGAGCACAUUAGUCUUUAAGAGCCAAUAGGCACAGAUGCAUUAGACUGCUUCAUCCCUGUCUAAUAUUUAUUAAGCCAAAAAAGGGGGGGGGAGCCUUGGUGUUAUGGCAACUCAAUACAGCUCCUGCUAUUAAACCUUUACUCAGAGGUGGGGAACAGCCAGCCAGGUUUGUGUGUGUUUAUAUAUGCGGAUUAUAAAGUGUGGGGAUUAGUAUAGAGUGAUUACAGCAUUUCAACUGUAUAUUAAGUGCCUGAAACAAUAUCCAAGCAGUCAAGAGUGCUGUAUGCAUUAUGGUUGAGUGUCAUAGCUGACAUUUCUAAUAUCCAUUAUUCAAAAAUUGAUUCCAUGCCUGACUAUCAUGCAUCAUCCAGCCACAAUAUAGGACAAGUAAUACAUGGCAGCACCUCAAUCUCGGCUAAGAGCUUUGCAAACAUUAUCUAGUUCAUCCUGCCCAAGUUUAAUGUCUCUUCAGUGAAUCAGGUAAGUGUAGCACCACACUUUAGGGAUGACAGCAGAAGUCAGGUGCUUUUUUCCCUCAUGCCUAACCUUUAUAAAUGCAUUAGUGCUGCGAUUAAGAACUUCUUUCACUUUUGUUUCAUGCCUUGUGAUAACAGCGGGGCAGUGGUUAGAAGGAUUCCUAGGCAUUUGGAGGCAACGGUAUAAGGCUUCCCUGUCUUCCCACAUUGCCCUUCAGACCAGCUCCAUAUCCACCUGUACCCUCCUCUGAAUUCCAUUGUCCUCUCCAGUCCUUCUUUUGCUCUGCCAUGGUCCAUAGCAUCCUGCCUAGAGCACAGGUAGCCAACUCUAGAAGCCCCAUCUUCCCUGGUCACUGGCUAUGCAGGCUGAGGCUGAAGGGAGUUGAACAACAUGUGGAAAUCAUAUUUGCUUACCUGGUCUACAGUAUACUGUAGUCCCUAUCUUGCUUUGCACCUCAAGGAUGAAACUUGCAGCAGCAGUGGGAUAAAUACCCUGGGCAGAUGUUGCAUUUGUCCAAGAAUGGGACCAUUUCUGGAAUGAAUAGUGCUCAACUGCUCUGUAAUAGUAAAAAAUCAGUUCCACCAUUGUUGUUGUUGUUGCUGCUGCAGUUGCUAUAUUCCACUUUUUGCUAAUAGUAAGCACAAAGCUUCUUUCAAGUUAAAAACAAGUCUCAUCCAUUGUAUGCGAUGUGACCUAUAACUCAGCAUUGUAUGCUGCUUUCACAGUGAUUCAUUUAUUACAAGCAUUGCUGGAAUAUUCCCUCUAAGCCACCAUGUAUUGGUGAAAUAAAUACUACGUUAGUAUGACUAUUGGUUUGAUUGAUAAGCUAGUAAUGAGUAAUAACGUUGAAUCAAUAUGAAUGAACAAGACAUUAUCACUUUAUCAUGAUACACACAAUAUACACACAAUACGCACAAUAUUUCCCUACUUUGGAUGUAUGAGGUUUUUUUUUUUGAAAACUCAGAGUGAGUCUGGUCCAAACAGUAAGUUACAUGGAGAGAGCUGAUGCGUUAGAAUUGGGCUGGGAAGAUGAAUUGAAAUCUCAGCUAUGAACUUUUUUGCUUGACUGGCUGAGUCAUUAUUCCUCCUGGGCUUCAGCUGCUUGUUUGUAGAAUGGUAAGAGUAGUGCAUAGGAGCUUAGGAAGCUGGCUUAUACCAAGUAAGACCAUUGGCCCAUCUAACACAGUAUUGUCUUCACUGAUUGGCAGUGGCUGUCCAGGGUUUCAGGCAGCGAGUCAUUCCAAGCCCUAUCUGGAGACCCUCAAGGAUUGAACCCGGGACCUUCUGAGUGCAAAGCAAAUGCUCUACCAUUGAGCUAGAGCCCUUUCCCAACACUAAUCAAUAGCGUAAGACUGUUGACAAGAUCACUGAGAUAAGGGCUGUAGAGCCAAAAUUGCAUUACACUUACUAUGGAGUAAGUCCUCUUGAACUCAUUGAAACAGGAUGAAUAGGAUUAGGCUAUUUUGCCUAGCUAAAGUGUUUAAAUCAUGAUUACUAGCAGUUAUUAUUGCUUCUACAGGCAAAUAGAUCCCUUGAUUCACUUCUAUACAAAGUUUAGAUAUUUGUGCUUCCUUGAUUUUCAUUUUUCUGGGUGUAUGGAAUUCUCUGACACAAUAACUCUGUAUUCCUCAAUGUGACCCUUUUCUGCUACCACCCAUUCUCAGAAUACUUUCGAAACCUCCCAGUAGGUUGAUAUAUAAUAGGCUUAGGUGUGAGAUCAACAAGCAAGCUCUAAAAUAAUGCUGUGUGGCCUCUCAUGGGGUGUAUCCACUAAAUUGGGUUAAAGGGGGAAUAAACCUUACCCUCCAAUCUGACACAUGCCUCCUAGGCUAAAGCAAACCCCAUUGAAGUAAUUUGGAAAGUCUUCUAAGCAAAGAUGCUUAGGAUCAGGCUGGACGUCUUAACAGAGGUUUGACACCCUUUGCAAUUUGUUUGAAAAUCUUUUUCUCCCAUCCAGUCCUCCCACUCCCAGCCUGACUUGGUUAUAAUACAACUGAAUAAUGUCCUUGGGUCUGAGAUUCCAUUUCAGUUUUAAAAUAAUGUUAAGGUCGUCUAAAAAAAAAAAAAGAUAAACUUGAAAGCAACCUGCCCCUUUAAGAAAGGAUUGGUCUUAAUCUAUUUCCAGCGUACAAGAGAUCAGCUCAGGAUUGCUGGGACACUUCCACUGACACAAAUCUACAUAAUCGUUUUAAAAUUCUCACCAUUUCUUCCGAUUAUUCUCUUUCUGUCACUUUAGGAAGCUCUAAAACUGAUUUUCUCUCCGUAAUCUUCCAGUAUUGCUUAGCACCCAAAUCUCUAAUAUUUUAAGAAGAUUAUUUCAUUUAUAAUUGAUUGAGUGUAUUUGCCAGAUUGGUACUUCAAAGAUGUUGUGCUUUUUUAAAAAAAAAAAAAAAGUAGGGGGCUCAGGUAGCACAGUAUUACCCUGUUGUGCAACCCCGGCCUGUCUCCCUACCCCACCGAAGUUUCGCAUCUCUCCCCAUCGCACGGUCUAUGCAUUUAUUUACAUUAUCAGCUGAGCAGCUGAAAAAGCUUGCUGAGGAUAAAAAGCAAGCAGGGAUGACUCAAAAUAGCAAAUCAGGCAAAGAGUUACUUUAAUUGUCACCUACUGGCAAAGCAGAAACCCCUUUGGUUCCUUCUCUAGUGUGCUUUUUCACGGCACAGUGCUUCUCCCUCAGUGUCAAGGCUCUUUCUAACAAUGAUUGGAAUUAAAGAAUCUUCUAGCGAUAUUUUUGACAACUUCAGUACUUAAUGAAAGUUGGGAGACCUUGAACAAAGCUCAUCUGGCCUAGGUGAAUAUGCGAAGGGGCUGCAACGAAAUGUUGCCGUGUGGAAAUCUCCUGUUCAGUCUUCCAGCUUUUAUUCAGAGUAUGUGACUCCAUUUCCCCUCCCCUAUCCCACUCCCAGCUUUUUAUCCCUCCCAACAGCCAGUAAUCAUGGGCAGCAUAUUUAGUCCUCGUUGAUUGUGGUUGUUUUUAUGUUGCCCUUGUUUUCUCCUCUGAGAUUUUACCCCUAAAGUUUUCAUAUGUUUCUCCAAAAUAAAUCCUCGGGACUUCUCUGAGCCUGCUGAUGCCUUUCUCUUGUGAAUGGACGGUGCUUGUUUUGGCUACGUAACGACCACCGCUUUGAGUAUGUGUUUGACGUCCUUGGGCAUGGGGAAGAUGGAGGAGUCAUUCUGGCUUUUAGCUGUUGCAUCUGAUACAUAGGCCUCUAAUGAUAAAUGUUGGGUCCUGAAGAAGACAAUUCCCAUGCCCCCCCCUUGUCUUUCAAAGAGUUCCAGGGCAGCUUCUUUCAAAGAGUUGUCAUGGAGCCAGUAACAGAGUGGCAUAUCACCUCCCACAGCCCUUCUGUUUUAUAAGUCCUUCUUCCGCCACACACCCAUUUUUGCUUUGUGAGAUGAACGGUGGUGUAGUGGGGUGGGGAAUGCAGGUGAGUGCAGCGCCAAUACUUUUUUCAGCGUAGAAAUGAUGACAUCAUCUGCCCGAGGGCCAGCGUCAUUGUCAAGCCCUCCUUGCUCUGGCAAGCAAAUGAGAUGAGCUGUCCCAAGUGUGUAUAUUAUAUUCUUCCAUUUCUAGAAAACAUUUCAUCGGUAAAGAUCACAGUGUGAUUCAUAAUAUGUCAUAAAGUAAUAAAAGACAAUAUUAUUUGUGACAGAUUAACGUAGAGAAGGUGAAAGAACGAGAAAAAUAAUCAAGUAGAGGUUGGGUACUUACCCCCUUUCCUUUGAUAGGGUUCCAACUUCAAGAUAGCAAUUAAAAUGGUAAAGCUUCUUUGCUAAUUUGUUUGUGUCUCUAAUUAAAAGUUAAAGGUUGCAUUUCAGUUGGCUUUAUAAGUUGAACCUAUACAAUCAGAAGCAAGCACUGCUGAGUUCAAUGGAACUCACUCCCAGGAAACUACAUCCAGUGGUACCUUGGGUUAUAUACGCUUCAGGUUGCAUACGCUUCAGGUUACACACUCCGCUAACCCAGAAAUAGUGCUUCAGGUUAAGAACUUUGUUUCAGGAUGAGAACAGAAAUCGGGUUUCGGCAGUGCGAUGACAGCAGGAGGCCCCAUUAGCUAAAGUGGUGCUUCAGGUUAAGAACAGUUUCAGGUUAAGAAUGGACCUCUGGAAUGAAUUAAGUACUUAACCCGAGGUACCACUGUAUAGGUUUGAUUCUAAUAAAUGAUGAAUUAUGCUAUGUGUUGCUGCUCUCUGGUGUGUGUGUUAUAUAUAAUGGAUCCUUGUUCACAUAACUAGUUCUGUUGUGAUCCCUUGUGGAUUCUCCUUCAUGGAAAGUGGUAAUGUAGACAGAGGACACUACAGAUACAGAUUCAUUUUAUUAUAAAUAAAUAUGUACCGGUACCUUGCACAGCCACCUUGGUGGACCUGCAACUGCUGUCCUUGCUCCUGUGGCCCAGAAUCAGUGUCCAGGGUGAGGGCACGGGAUCAGUUCUGCAGCUCCAAUGACACUGCUUAGCUCCUGACAGUCCUGCUUCUGUGUGUCACAUUCCUCCAGGGGUUUGCCUGCUGCAAUGGGCAACCUUCCUCCUACCUAGGGGCACCCCACAUGUGUUGCUGUUUCAGGACAGUCCACUGUGCUUUAUCAAGAAAUUCCUCAUUUUGCCCAGUAGCUCAAAGUGUGGAUAGGCAAGUUGCUUUACCUUGUCUUCCAGCAAGUCAGCAAGCUUGCACUUGCUGCAGGUGUAGCUUUGCACAUUCUCAGGCAGGAAGACAAACAGAGCACAGGGGCUGCAGGUCCUGGAGCAGAUCCCUUGCUGUCCAUGUCUCUUGGUUCUACAUACACCGUGAGAUAGCACUCCAGGCCUCCCCCUCAAAACGCCCUCACAAACACCUCUGCUUCAUAUUACUUGCCGGAACAAUGAUGAAUUAUUGUUGCUCCUAUUUCCCAGUUGGAUAACGAUACGAUACGAUAUGAUAUCUUUAUUGUCAUUGUCCCAUGCAGAACAAUGAAAUUGAAAAACAACAUAAAACUACAUAAAAACUACAUAAAACUACAUAAAAACUACAUAAAACUACAUAAAAACAACUACAUAAAACUACUACAAAACUACAUAAAACUACAUAAAAACUACAUAAAACAUUCAAAAACCCCCUAAAAACUUGUUAUAAAAACGAGAGGUUAUAAACUGAGGUACUUGGUCUAACUUUGCCACUUUGCCUGCUGGAUUUUAAACAUAGUUUGGAUAUAGUUUGUUGAGGCUCUUGCUCACGUGAUUACAUGAUACAUAUAUGUCUAUUCCUAGGAUUAUCAGUGCAGAAACCUACAAGAUGAUGGAAGGAUCACAUCUGUGAAAAACUGAAAUACAACACUGAAUUACGAUUCACAUUAUUGCCAUAUGUGAUUAUAUACUUGGGCAUGCCAACUGUACUUUUGGAAACAGAUAAUUAACAGCAAAAUAUCCUAUGCGUGGGACACGGGUGGCACUGUGGGUUAAACCACAGAGCCUAGGACUUGCUGAUCAGAAGGUCGGUGGUUUGAAUCCCCGCAACGGGGUGAGCUCCCGUUGCUUAGUCCCUGCUCCUGCCAACCUAGCAGUUCGAAAGCACGUCAAAGUGCAAGUAGAUAAAUAGGUACCGCUCUGGCGGGAAGGUAAACAGCGUUUCCGUGCGCUGCUCUGGUUUGCCAGAAGCAGCUCAGUCAUGCUGGCCACAUGACCCGGAAGCUGUACUCCGGCUCCCUCGGCCAGUAAAGCGAGAUGAGCACCGCAACCCCAGAGUCGGCCACGACUGGACCUAAUGGUCAGGGGUCCCUUUACCUUUACCUUUAUCCUAUGCAUGCUUCAGUCCAUUGAAUUGAAUGGAUAUACAGGUAUAUACAAAUCAUAAGCACUGGGCUUUAUUCUCCUGACUUCUUAAUUUGCAUCCAUAAAAAGGUAUCAGUAGCUGUUUCAGUGUUUCCUACUAAACUAAAGCUAUGCUUAGAGUUUCACAACUCCUGGAACUUUGCUCCACUCCUACCUUUGUUCAGUAUAUGAGGUUCACUGAGUCCCCCACAUUUAUCACACUGGCACAAGGUUUUUACCACUAGGCAUGAUGAGUGACCACCCAAAACAUUCACGUAAUGUAUUUCCAAAGCUGAAAGGAAAUGCAAGAUGUGUAAGUUUUAUUAGAUGCAAUAGUCUGGACAAUUUUUGCUCUAUAGAUCUCAUAAAAUGAAUUAAGCAUUAAGGGUGACACAGAUCAUACCUCUUAUUCCUUUGAAGUGCAAAGUUUUGCAUGCUACAAGAGGGAGACUACCUAUGCAAUACCUUUGGAAGCAGUGAACAAUUUGUAACUGUUGUAUGCCAUAUCUAGUUCUGUUUUAAUUUUUUCUCCCAUUUUUUAAGCAAUUAUCCGUCAGUUAAUGAGAAAAUAAAUUGCAUUAGAAAAUUGACAAAGGGAAGAUAAAUUUUCAGUGAACUUAUGGCUGCAGAGUUCCCCGCCCCCCAUGCUUACCUUAUUUUUGAGGUGGCUGAAGGAUGUAUGUGAAUGUCUUUUUGUUUCAUACUUCAAAUCAUCUUACCACUGCUCUUCACAUUGCAGCCUCCCAGGGUGCUUCAAUCAAGACUUAGGCUAGGGGAAUAUAUCGUGAUAUAACUCCUCCCACAAGGCUUCUUCAGAUCUGAAGGUGUGGGCAGCCAGGGACACUGUGGAGAGCUAGAUAAAUGUUCACAGGAAAGGAAUAAAAAAAUCAAACCCAGUUAACUUGAAGCCCUGCACCCACAGAAAUUAUACAGUACCCUGAGAAUAAGACAGGAAAAUUGAAGCCUCUUUUGCAGUGCAAGAAAAUAUUUGAGAAACUGGAGGUGAAGUUUCAGCAUAGCACCAGCCAUACCAAGAAGUCCUUGCUGUGUUUACUUAUAGAUAGCUGCUAUUCUUUUUCCAAGUGAUAUUUAAAGGAUAUUCAUUAGCAAUGUAGUCUACCAUCAGUUUGUAAAAUAACAGGUGCUAGGAUUCAAGUGUGCCUGAAAAUCACAUUUAUGGUCCAGAAGCCUUUUCCCUUCAUGACAGAUGUGUUGGAGAAAUCUUUAGAUACACUGUGGUGCAAGGAUAGUGUUCUCGAAGCUACCAGCAUGAGUCUGACCAAACUGCGGGAGGCAGUGGAAGACAGGAGUGCCUGCCGUGCUCUGGUCCAUGGGAUCAUGAAGAGUCGGACAAGACUAAAUGACUAAACAACAACAACAAUGUGGUGCAAGGAAAACAUUUUGCCCAUGUCCAUAGCAUGCUGCUGUUCAAUCUUGCAUCACCAUCUCCAAUGCCUCAGGUCAGAACAGGAGGGGCAGGAGUUGGCAUGCCCAAGUAUAUAAUCACAUAUGGCCAACGAUUUUGAGAGGGCCUACAGAGGCAAAGUGAGAGCGUGCAUCCCUUUAACAUCCUUGGUCAAAAGUUGCUCCAACAGAAAACAGUCCUUCAUCCUACUUUGUCCCUCAUUUGCUAUGAUUCAGAUUUCAUCCAGAAAUGUAACCCCGAGGCACCUUUCCUCACUUCCUCUUUCACUUAUCUGAACCAAAAGUGCUGACAUAAGCGAGAAGAUUCCCUUUCAUUUUAGUCAGCUUUGAAGAUCACUGACCCACAGUCUGUUUGCCUGCAAUGCUCAGAUGUGUUUGAAUUGAAAAUACAGGCCAGACAUGCAUUUGCUCUGUAUCCAUUGUUCCACAGUUAGCUGGGAACUGCAUUUCAUUACAUCAUCCUUCUAGGAACACAAGAACAAAGAAGGACCCGGAUGGAUCAGACCAAAAGUCCACCUAGUCCAGCAUCCUGCCCUCCCACUAACCAACGAGAUGCUUAUUAGAAGGCUGAAAGAGCACUUUCUCCACUUCUGAUUAGCAGAAGGGCAUGCUCACUGCCUCUGACACUGGAUGUAAUUCAUAUCUAUUAAGGCUGUGUACAAGCCUCCCAAAGUAAUUUGGGGCCUGAUGCAGUGCUUUGGAACAACCCUGAUCUGAUCCAGGAUGACCUGACCCAAAUCCAGUCCUCAAACCUACCCAGGCACAGCCAUGAAGCCAGGGGGGAGGAUGGCAUGGCCAAGAGGCAAGGUGAGGCCACUGCCUUGGGAUGCAGGAUCCACAGGGGUAGCAGAUCCCAAUGAAGAUCUUCAUUCCACCCACUCCCCAACCCCUUGUUCCUGUUGUAGAUCUUCACUUACCCCUUCUUCCCCGGUGGGGAAGGUGGUGGCAUUUUAUGGUUUGCCUCAGAUGCACAAAUGUAUUGGGCCGGCCUGGGGGUGGGAGAAGAGGCCUGCCUCUCCUUCUCCACCUCCCAACCAUAUGUUUAAUUAAACAUGUGGUUGAGAGGUAGCCCCAUGCAGGAUGCACACACUGUUAGAAUUCCUGCUCCAUGAUUGCAGUCAUAGGACUGUUGUCUUUCACAUGAUGGUAUGUGUUUUGACUCCACAGAGUGGGAAAUGACGGAGACAGGAUGUUUGUGUUACUGUGUUCCAUGAAGUGAGACUAUUGUCCUUUGUUCUUUUUCUCUUUGCUGCCUGAUGCUAGAGAGAGAGGGAGCCAUGUUGCAGUGCUCUGUGUGUGUUUAUAUCUAAAUAAAGUAGAUUAGCCAAAAUGCUGAGUUGCUGAGGUCUGUUACGCAAAGCUGCAAAGACUCUGCGGAUUCCUAAGUGUGCCAGUGUUGGUUGGCAUCGGUCGCUGUGAUGUUCGGGCAGAAGAAAGCUUUUGAAGCUCCUGAAUGAUUGACCACGAGGGAGGGAACAUGCCAGUUGGGCAUGUUUCUCUGCUAGGGUCCUACUCGAGUGUAGGCUGAACUUCUGAUGCACACAUCUCCUCACCCCCUGCCUUCCUUGCACCAGAUUCAACCCAGGUCAGUCUGGGACUGAUUGAACCUGAUCCACACAAAUCCCAGGUCAAAUCAAAUUGGCCUGAUUUAGUUCAGGAUCUGGGAUCUGGCUAGCUCCAGGGCACAGCCUGAAUACCCAUCCUGGUUAGUAUUCACUGACAGCCUUAUCCUUUGUGAAUUUGGAUGAAGAGAUUUGUAUGGAAACUUUUCCUGUUCCACCCACCCACAAAUAAUUCAGGUGCAUCUAUGGAGGGUUUGUGGCUGUUGUUUUGGUCAAUGUUGCAUAAUAUCAACAUUGGCUCCAUGCUUGCCUUCCUGCUGCCCUUAUCUGAUGGCCAAAUAUGCAGGGGACCAAGGAAGUGGGUAGGGGUGAGGUGUGCAUGGAUGGAGAGGAUUAGACGUGGCAAACAAGCCAAUCCGUCUGCUCAAACAAUCCAUGUGCUCAUACCUUUAGAAGAGUCACUGACGGCACAACUUGGUUAGCUUAAAAAUGAAUGCAGCAACAAGUAAACAAUUAAACAAACAGAUAAGAGAUUGACACACAAUUGGUUAAAAUAGAUAAAUACCCUAGAGAUUUUGGUGAGUUGAGUUGUAAAUUAGCAACUGUCAGAUCUAUGCUAGCCUAUGAACCUAUUAAAUGCUGCCCGCUGCAAGAAGAGACUGAUCUCAGGGAGUAUGAAAACCCAGUGCUAAAUUAAUCAGAUACAAGUGGUCCUAUGAAUAUUAGAAACAGUUGUGGGACAAGCAAAAAGAUACAGAUUUAUGUUUUCAAACCCAUCCUAAAAAAUAGUCCAUCCUAAAAAAUAGUCCAAUUGACACAUCUGUGUGUUUAAGUAUUAAAGUAGGUGUAUUUGAAUUUUGCAUCCAUGGGGAAAUAUUGGAACGGUCUCUUUCUUUAAAAGAAGUAGCUAUUUUCCAUUUUCAAAGAACGAGUGUGAGGGAAGAUCACCUAAAAGAGGUAGAUAAUGAUUUGCCAGCCACACCUUCUGUUACAGUAAAAUAAGCAAUGCUUGAAAGAGACAUGGAAACAGCCUUCUUCAAAUCCAAUUCAGGGAUUUGGAAUCCCCACUAAACGCUUAAUUAAUUUUUGAUUAGCUUGAGAACCCAUUAAACAGACUGAUUCUUCUAGCUUUAUAAAGGAUGGCAGCAUGCUGCUUUAAUUAAAUUAAUACUAAAAGAUGUUCAUUUUCAAAUCCUUAUGUUGGUUAUUUGAGAAAAAAUCAUUCCAUUUCAUUUCCUCUAAGAGGUUUACCAUGUUCUUUUCUCCAAUACACUUCAAAUAUCUUUCUUUUCACAUUAUUCUGUUUGGGAUGCCUUUGCCACUGCCUUCACGCAUAGUAAGCCAAUUCACAGAUUCAUAGGGACCGUGAAGCUCAGAUGCAUCCUCCGAGGUCAUCAAGGCUGACCCCCACCAGCUCUUGCACCACACUUUUCUCUGAACUUUCUCCUUUGAUAACAAUAUUCAGACAUUUCCUCGAUUAUGGGUAUCUACAUGCAUCACAUCUGAAAGAUUCUCCUCCAAGCAAUUGCUAAACCCAUAUUCUGAGUUAGAUUUGAUAGGUCAACAUUUCCGCGAAUAAGAGGCACAGGGUCUUGGCAAAGAUGUGAAUGUUUUGAAAUGAGACAUAUGCUACAAAAUAUGAGAAUUAACGCAAACAAAGACUCAUUCUGUAAUCCUGGGUUCAGCUGCCAUCACUAACUAUCUCUUUAUAUUUUACAGUAGUUUGAUCAGAGGUCUGGGAUACAACAAGAGUGAGAGAAAUAUGAAACUCACUUGUUUCUUGAGGCACUCAACUUCUCACUUGCCAGUGAAAAUCAGUGCUCCCAUCUGAAUAAUUGCACCCUUGGGUCUGUUUCUUGGUCACAGUAGGGUGUGACAGACCGCUGGAAUGUCUACCUUAAAGCUCUAAGCUGGAGGGAAAACCAGAAAACCUGGGGGCAAGAGAGAAAUGAAAUGGAGUAUUCUGAAAGUGGACAUACCUACUGGCUAGAACCCUGAACAGGAGUACUCAAUUUUUCUUCAAGUCCCAC
This 12179-nucleotide long non-coding RNA is filed under the name Podarcis lilfordi (Lilford's wall lizard). Lineage: Eukaryota; Metazoa; Chordata; Lepidosauria; Squamata; Lacertidae. The record is from RNAcentral.